This 113-nucleotide ribosomal RNA is filed under the name Spirochaetota bacterium. The record is from RNAcentral. Lineage: Bacteria; Pseudomonadati; Spirochaetota.
UGACUAUCGAGAGGAGGCCACACCCGUUCCCAUCCCGAACACGGCCGUUAAGCUCCUCUUCGCCAAUGGUACUGCAAUCAUACGUGUUGUGGGAGAGUAGGUCGUUGCCGGGG